Molecule: unclassified non-coding RNA, 207 nt
Filed under: soil metagenome
Description: partial contains 5.8S ribosomal RNA, internal transcribed spacer 2, and large subunit ribosomal RNA
Source: RNAcentral
AACCUUAUGGACCUGCGGGCGUAUACCUGCGGAAGGAUCAUUACCGAGUGAGGGCCUUUGGGCUCGACCUCCCACCCUUUGUUGUCUGACCGCGUUGCUUCGGGGUUGUCGUCUUUGGCGGCGCCCCGGAGGACCGUCCAAACUCUUGCAUCUCUGCGUCUGAGUCUUGUUAUUUAAAAUGACAUGAAAACUUUUAACAAUGGAUCU